This 507-nucleotide ribosomal RNA is filed under the name Pueraria candollei var. mirifica. Its description in RNAcentral is "eukaryotic LSU rRNA". The stretch from base 346 to 507 matches the Rfam family "Eukaryotic large subunit ribosomal RNA", at positions 1 to 162 of the family's 3401-position model. Lineage: Eukaryota; Viridiplantae; Streptophyta; Magnoliopsida; Fabales; Fabaceae. The record is from RNAcentral.
AUGCGAUACUUGGUGUGAAUUGCAGAAUCCCGUGAACCAUCGAGUCUUUGAACGCAAGUUGCGCCCGAAGCCAUUAGGUGGAGGGCACGCCUGCCUGGGUGUCACACAUCGUUACCCCCACGCAAACAAAUGUCUCACACGACAGACGUUCUGCGUAGUAGGGUGCACGCUGACCUCCCGCGAGCACCGUCUCGCGGUUGGUUGAAAAUCGAGUUCGUGGCCGAGUACGCCGUGAUAAAAUGGUGGAUGAGCAACGCUCGAGACCAAUCACGCGCCGCGACUCGGUCGGCUCCGGACUCCUCCACGACCCUAUAGUGCCUCCUCUUCGGGGAGACGCUCUCAACGAGACCUCAGGUCAGGCGGGGCUACCCGCUGAGUUUAAGCAUAUCAAUAAGCGGAGGAAAAGAAACUAACAAGGAUUCCCCUAGUAACGGCGAGCGAACCGGGAAGAGCCCACCAUGAGAAUCGGUCGCCCUCGGCGUCCGAAUUGUAGUCUGGAGAAGCGUC